AGAGUUUGAUCCUGGCUCAGAUUGAACGCUGAUGCCUUACACAUGCAAGUCGAACGGCAGCACGGGUGCUUGCACCUGGUGGCGAGUGGCGAACGGGUGAGUAAUACAUCGGAACGUACCUUAUCGUGGGGGAUAACGCAGCGGAAGUUGCGCUAAUACCGCAUACGCCCUGAGGGGGAAAGCGGGGGACCGAAGGCCUCGCGCGAUUAGAGCGGCCGAUGUUUGAUUAGCUUGUUGGUGAGGUAAAAGCUCACCAAGGCGAUGAUCAGUAGCAGGUCUGAGAGGACGAUCAGCCACACUGGGACUGCUCACCAAGGCGAUGAUCAGUAGCAGGUCUGAGAGGACGAUCAGCCACACUGGGACUGCUCACCAAGGCGAUGAUCAGUAGCAGGUCUGAGAGGACGAUCAGCCACACUGGGACUGAACACGGCCCAGACUCCUACGGGAGGCAGCAGUGGGGAAUUUUGGACAAUGGGGGCAACCCUGAUCCAGCAAUGCCGCGUGAGUGAAGAAGGCCUUCGGGUUGUAAAGCUCUUUUGUCAGGGAAGAAACAGCAGCUCUAACACAGUCUGCGAAUGACGGUACCUGAAGAAUAAGCACCGGCUAACUACGUGCCAGCAGCCGCGGUAAUACGUAGGGUGCGAGCGUUAAUCGGAAUUACUGGGCGUAAAGCGUGCGCAGGCGGUUAUACAAGACAGGCGUGAAAUCCCCGGGCUUAACCUGGGAAUGGCGUCUGUGACUGUAUAGCUAGAGUGUGUCAGAGGGGGGUGGAAUUCCACGUGUAGCAGUGAAAUGCGUAGAUAUGUGGAGGAACACCAAUGGCGAAAGGCAGCCCCCUGGGAUAACACUGACGCUCAUGCACGAAAGCGUGGGGAGCAAACAGGAUUAGAUACCCUGGUAGUCCACGCCCUAAACGAUGCUGACUAGUUGUUGGGAAUUUACAUUCUCAGUAACGUAGCUAACGCGUGAAGUCAGCCGCCUGGGGGAGUACGGUCGCAGAUUAAAACUCAAAGGAAUUGACGGGGACCCGCACAAGCGUGAUGAUGUGAUUAUUCGAUGCACGCGAAAA
RNAcentral lists this ribosomal RNA (1069 nucleotides) under uncultured beta proteobacterium. Its description in RNAcentral is "bacterial SSU rRNA". It matches the Rfam family "Bacterial small subunit ribosomal RNA", at positions 8 to 967 of the family's 1533-position model. The record is from RNAcentral. Lineage: Bacteria; Pseudomonadati; Pseudomonadota; Betaproteobacteria.